UAAGGAAUAUUGGUCAAUGGACGCAAGUCUGAACCAGCCAUGCCGCGUGGAGGAUGAAGGCCCUCUGGGUUGUAAACUUCUUUUAUAGGGGACGAAACCUCUUUUUCUUGAGAGACUGACGGUACCCUAGGAAUAAGCACCGGCUAACUCCGUGCCAGCAGCCGCGGUAAUACGGGGGGUGCAAGCGUUAUCCGGAUUCACUGGGUUUAAAGGGUGCGUAGGCGGGCAGGUAAGUCAGUGGUGAAAUCUCCGGGCUUAACUCGGAAACUGCCGUUGAUACUAUCUGUCUUGAAUUCUGUGGAGGUGAGCGGAAUAUGUCAUGUAGCGGUGAAAUGCUUAG
RNAcentral lists this ribosomal RNA (340 nucleotides) under uncultured bacterium. RNAcentral describes it as "bacterial SSU rRNA". It matches the Rfam family "Bacterial small subunit ribosomal RNA", at positions 355 to 693 of the family's 1533-position model. The record is from RNAcentral.